This 253-nucleotide ribosomal RNA is filed under the name uncultured bacterium. RNAcentral's name for it is "partial 16S ribosomal RNA". It matches the Rfam family "Bacterial small subunit ribosomal RNA", at positions 524 to 776 of the family's 1533-position model. The record is from RNAcentral.
UACGAAGGGGGCUAGCGUUGCCCGGAAUCACUGGGCGUAAAGCGCACGUAGGCGGAUCUUUAAGUCAGGGGUGAAAUCCUGGAGCUCAACUCCAGAACUGCCUUUGAUACUGGGGAUCUCGAGUCCGGAAGAGGUGAGUGGAACUCCGAGUGUAGAGGUGAAAUUCGUAGAUAUUCGGAAGAACACCAGUGGCGAAGGCGGCUCACUGGUCCGGUACUGACGCUGAGGUGCGAAAGCGUGGGGAGCAAACAGG